AGUGGCGAACGGGUGAGUAAUAUAUCGGAACGUACCUUAUCGUGGGGGAUGACGCAGCGAAAGCUGCGCUAAUACCGCAUACGCCCUGAGGGGGAAAGCGGGGGACCGUAAGGCCUCGCGCGAUUAGAGCGGCCGAUAUCUGAUUAGCUUGUUGGUGGGGUAAAAGCCCACCAAGGCGACGAUCAGUAGCUGGUCUGAGAGGACGAUCAGCCACGCUGGGACUGAGACACAGCCCAGACUCCUACGGGAGGCAGCAGUGGGGAAUUUUGGACAAUGGGGGCAACCCUGAUCCAGCAAUGCCGCGUGAGUGAAGAAGGCCUUCGGGUUGUAAAGCUCUUUUGUCAGGGAAGAAACAGCAGCUCUAACACAGUCUGCGAAUGACGGUACCUGAAGAAUAAGCACCGGCUAACUACGUGCCAGCAGCCGCGGUAAUACGUAGGGUGCAAGCGUUAAUCGGAAUUACUGGGCGUAAAGCGUGCGCAGGCGGUUAUACAAGACAGGCGUGAAAUCCCCGGGCUUAACCUGGGAGUGGCGUCUGUGACUGUAUGGCUAGAGUGUGUCAGAGGGGGGUAGAAUUCCACGUGUAGCAGUGAAAUGCGUAGAUAUGUGGAGGAAUACCAAUGGCGAAGGCAGCCCCCUGGGAUAACACUGACGCUCAUGCACGAAAGCGUGGGGAGCAAACAGGAUUAGAUACCCUGGU
Molecule: ribosomal RNA, 700 nt
Filed under: uncultured beta proteobacterium
Lineage: Bacteria; Pseudomonadati; Pseudomonadota; Betaproteobacteria
Description: bacterial SSU rRNA
Rfam family: Bacterial small subunit ribosomal RNA
Source: RNAcentral